GGGGAAUUUUCCGCAAUGGGCGCAAGCCUGACGGAGCAAGACCGCGUGCGGGACGAAGGCCUGUGGGUCGUAAACCGCUUUUGAUAGGGAAGAAUAACUGACGGUACCUAUCGAAUCAGCCUCGGCUAACUCCGUGCCAGCAGCCGCGGUAAUACGGAGGAGGCAAGCGUUAUCCGGAAUUAUUGGGCGUAAAGCGUCCGCAGGUGGUUAUGUAAGUCUGCUGUCAAAGCCCGGGGCUCAACCCUGGAGAGGCAGUGGAAACUACAUGACUAGAGUGUGGUAGGGGCAGAGGGAAUUCCCAGUGUAGCGGUGAAAUGCGUAGAUAUUGGGAAGAACACCGGUGGCGAAAGCGCUCUGCUGGGCCUGCACUGACACUGAGGGACGAAAGCUAGGGGAGCGAAAGGGAUUAGAUACCCCUGU
This 420-nucleotide ribosomal RNA is filed under the name uncultured Schizothrix sp. Its description in RNAcentral is "bacterial SSU rRNA". It matches the Rfam family "Bacterial small subunit ribosomal RNA", at positions 356 to 791 of the family's 1533-position model. The record is from RNAcentral. Lineage: Bacteria; Bacillati; Cyanobacteriota; Cyanophyceae; Leptolyngbyales; Schizotrichaceae.